Molecule: ribosomal RNA, 279 nt
Filed under: uncultured Bacteroidota bacterium
Lineage: Bacteria; Pseudomonadati; Bacteroidota
Description: uncultured Bacteroidetes bacterium partial 16S ribosomal RNA
Rfam family: Bacterial small subunit ribosomal RNA
Source: RNAcentral
GAUGAACGCUAGCGGGAGGCUUAACACAUGCAAGUCGAGCGGGAGGGGUAGCAAUACCCCAAGAGCGGCGCACGGGUGCGUAACGCGUAUGCAACCUGCCUUAUACAGGGGGAUAGCCCAUGGAAACGUGGAUUAAUAUCCCAUAGUACUUUUGAAUCGCAUGAUUUAGGAGUUAAAGCUGAGGUGGUAUAAGAUGGGCAUGCGUCUGAUUAGGUAGUUGGUAGGGUAACGGCCUACCAAGCCGACGAUCAGUAGGGGUUCUGAGAGGAUUACCCCCCA